RNAcentral lists this transfer RNA (72 nucleotides) under Rathbunaster californicus. RNAcentral describes it as "tRNA-Gln". It matches the Rfam family "tRNA". From Rfam's summary of the family: Transfer RNA (tRNA) molecules are approximately 80 nucleotides in length. Their secondary structure includes four short double-helical elements and three loops (D, anti-codon, and T loops). RNAcentral also lists the same sequence under 1 other name. The record is from RNAcentral. Lineage: Eukaryota; Metazoa; Echinodermata; Asteroidea; Forcipulatida; Labidiasteridae.
UAGGAAGUAGUUUAAGUAGUAAAACCAAGAAAUUUGAAUUCUAAAAUACAAGUGCAACUCUUGUCUUCCUAA